CUCUAAACUGCUUCCUAUAUAGCUUUUUAUUUGUUUAUUUAAGCUUUAUUUAUUUAAGUUUUUAUUGAAGUAUCACUUCAAACAUCACAGAGAAAACAGAAGCCAGCAUCCCUGGCCUAAAGAGAACAGCCAUGACUGCUUUUCAAAGAUAUGCUGCUUUCCCCAAAGAGAGGGCAAAUGCAGACCUAUCCAAUGAAAGCACCCUCAGCAAUGCCCUUCUUCACAAGGAUGAUCACUCGGACCAGCCCAAACAGUAUGGCGAGCAUGGUACAACCUCAUCAUUACCCUGGAAUCAUUACAGCCCUGAUGAUGAGACGAUCAUGAAAUUAGAAGGAGAGAGGAGAUGUGAAGAAGUGACAACACUUCUGUCCCAGCUUCCCAGAACUUUACUCCUGUAUGUCUCAUCUCACCUACAUCCAAAUGAAUGGUGAUCCAAGGCAUGGGACAAGCAGUGCGAUCUUGUGAGCAUUUACAACAGCUGAGCUGGGUGAGGACUCACGCUUUCAUCCGGU
This 512-nucleotide long non-coding RNA is filed under the name Equus caballus (horse). Its description in RNAcentral is "lncRNA (ENSECAG00000046421.1)". The record is from RNAcentral. Lineage: Eukaryota; Metazoa; Chordata; Mammalia; Perissodactyla; Equidae.